CUGUCCUUGUGCUCCAGCGCUUGCUUCUCCAAGUAUGAAAGCAGGCGUUCUCUGUCAAAGGGGCCCGUGGCAGGCUUUGUGGUCUGGUCCUUUUGCCGAAAUCCAGCUGGAAGCAAGGCGUUCUCAGGAUCAAGGUCGUCGAGAACAUGCUCGAGCUGCUUCAGUUCAUCCUCUGAGAGUUUGCUGAGUAUUUCGUCUUCGUUGAUAUUCUUAUAUUUCUCCAGCUCCUUUCGGAAAGGCAGAGACAUGGCUCCUGCUGCACUGCUCAGCUGCUUCCCCUCCAGAUUCCAACCAUGCAGGCUAUGGAGCUUCUCGCGGUUUCACUCCCUGUUAACAAUAAAGCAUUAUGAGCAUCUCGGUUUAGCUGCUGCAGCCCUGAAGAGCCCGCAUGCUGAGAGCCACAUUUACAGUUUAUUAAGGAAAACAAAGCAGCACGAUGCUCUGGCUCAGCUGUAGGAGAGGGAUGUGCUGGGGCUGUGCAGCCCUACCCGAGGGAUGGCAAGGGACCAGAUGGCACUUGGGAGCCUCACAGGUGCAGUGGCGGAGACAGGCUAUGAGACCUAUGUAAGAAAAAAACAUCAGGAAGGUAUCCCUUCCGCAGAGAUAAAUCUCUUUUCUUUCAUUUGCUCAGAAAUAGCAGUAUCUGCUGUUCUUUUGGCCAGAGGAAUGAAAAGCAUCAGAGAUCGGCAGCCACAGAAAGCAGCCCAGCCCUGACACAGAAGAAACAAAAUGUUACGCCUUGAGAUGCAAUUUGAGAGCUAGAAUCUGCCGUAAGUGGAUGGAGUGAAAGGGAAUUAAUGCACGAUCAGACACAGCAUCAGCUGCAGAGUUUAAAUGGGAUCCAGGCCUUCCCAAGCGUGCCCAGUUCCACACCUCCGCACAAAGCCCUCUGGAUUACCUACAGCCAGCAGUGGGGUUUGGCAGCUGAGUUUUGCACGCACAGAUUUAAGUUAUGGCUGAUAUGGCAAGCAGCCAGCUGGCACUACAUGUGGCUGAUCUUUCAACCAGAACGUCCUUCGGCCAGCUCCUCCGUUGUCCUACAUCAACAGAAUCCAUGCAGGUUUGUCGCUCAUCACAUGAGCUGCAAGCUUGGGCUUUGCUUUUCUUUUAUUCAAAAUCUACAAGAAAAUGAUGCACUUACUCACAGAAUUUCUAUUAAAAUAUUAAAUACUAAAAGAGAUCUCAUUUUUCAAUUUAUCUGAAAACAGCAGUCUGUAGAAAGGGAAGAGAAUGAUUAGCAGCAUUUCAAAUUAGACAAAUCUGGAAUCAUAAGCCUUCCUCUGAAAUACUCAAACAUGAUAUUCCAGGGAAAAGCAUUAUUUCCCCCAUAGAGUCUUGUUCUUUUACUACUGUGUUUAUUAGCCCUGUUAAGUCACGAGUCUGCUUCUGGAAGUUACUCAGCAUCAGAUGGUUCACAAAGUUAGAGGAGCUGUGAAAAAUUCUUGUAUUAGCAAAAUUCCAUUGUAUGUGUUGUGGGAGCUGUGUUUGGGCAUAAAGAAAAACAAAGCAACAGUUAAUGUUUAAUAAAAGCAUUUUUGUUAACAUGAGAAGUAUAUUUUUUGAACUGUGAAAACAAAUUGAGGAGCAGUACAGCAGUGCUAAGGGAUCCUCUGGAUAAACUCAUUAAACACAUAGCAUUUCAGCUCGGCACUCAUUAAC
Molecule: long non-coding RNA, 1659 nt
Filed under: Gallus gallus (chicken)
Lineage: Eukaryota; Metazoa; Chordata; Aves; Galliformes; Phasianidae
Source: RNAcentral